Molecule: ribosomal RNA, 413 nt
Filed under: uncultured bacterium
Lineage: Bacteria
Description: bacterial SSU rRNA
Rfam family: Bacterial small subunit ribosomal RNA
Source: RNAcentral
AACGAACGCUGGCGGCAUGCCUAACACAUGCAAGUCGAACGGGAUCCUAGCUUGCUAGGUGAGAGUGGCGGACGGGUGAGUAACACGUGGGAAUCUGCCUUUUGGUUCGGGAUAACCGCGGGAAACUGCGGCUAAUACCGAAUGCCCUCGAGAGAGGAAAGAUUUAUCGCCAGAAGAGGAGCCCGCGUCCGAUUAGGUAGUUGGUGGGGUAAAGGCCUACCAAGCCGACGAUCGGUAGCUGGUCUGAGAGGAUGAUCAGCCACACUGGGACUGAGAUACGGCCCAGACUCCUACGGGAGGCAGCAGUGGGAAUAUUGGACAAUGGGGGCAACCCUGAUCCAGCAAUGCCGCGUGAGUGAUGAAGGCCUUAGGGUGUAAGCUCUUUGCCAGGGAAGAUGAUGACUGUACCUGGA